UGACUAACCCUCCCCCCUUCUGGGAUGGGGGCACCCACACCAGCACACAAGAUCUUUAUGGAUUCCCCCGGGCCAUUAUUUGUACUGUGAGCUGCACUGUGCGCCCGACCGUGAAAGUUGCGUGCAAAAGUGACAUUCUUAGGCAGUGACCGCCUUAGACGCCUAUUGAAGCUCUCCACUUUCUGUGUAUUGGUAUUAAGAAUGGAUUUGUCUAGCACUGACGGGGCAAGCCGCCUAUUGACACAGGCCUGGAGAAUCCUUGCAUUGGCCCUGGAGUAUGGAAUUUUGAAGUUUCCAUCAAGUGAAGACUCGGCUGGAGGUGGAGUGUUGGUGGCCAUAAAAAUUUUGCGCAGAGAUGAACUGCCAAUGGGGGUUUGACUUAGACCUACUUGUAGGCCAUAGUUUAUUGUUGCUGCUUUCCUUCCCCUGGAAUUGGACUGCACUUCCACAUAGAGCUUGUGCAUUUCUGAAGUGUAAGGGCACCUGCUGCAUUUCAGCCGUAGUCGAGUACCCAGGCCACGCCUCUCCUCAGAGUCCAUGUCCCAGGUCAGGUUGCCGUCACAUCCAGGGUUGGUCCUCCCAUGUUCUUUGAAGGCUGUAUUGAACAGCCCACUUGUCUUUUGAAGAUGGAGCAGUCUGUGGGAGUCUGAAUCACACCUACCGAAACCAGUUUUGUAUCUGAUCACUUCCUAUCCAGGGGUCUUGGCCGCAGCAACCGGUGGCACCCAGGUCGCAGCAUCAUUUCCUGUUCCUCACUCACUGAGGGUGGAUGUCUCACCAGUUCCAGGGUUUCCCGGUCUACUCUUGUGAAUGG
Saccostrea echinata is the source of this 814-nucleotide long non-coding RNA. RefSeq lists it as uncharacterized. The transcript is spliced from 3 exons. The record is from RefSeq and is a predicted model, not a curated record. NCBI's taxonomy places the organism in Eukaryota, Metazoa, Mollusca, Bivalvia, Ostreida, Ostreidae.